UGGGGAAUAUUUGACAAUGGGCGCAAGCCUGAUCCAGCCAUGCCGCGUGAGUGAUGAAGGCCCUAGGGUUGUAAAGCUCUUUCACCGGUGAAGAUAAUGACGGUAACCGGAGAAGAAGCCCCGGCUAACUUCGUGCCAGCAGCCGCGGUAAUACGAAGGGGGCUAGCGUUGUUCGGAUUUACUGGGCGUAAAGCGCACGUAGGCGGACUUUUAAGUCAGGGGUGAAAUCCCGGGGCUCAACCCCGGAACUGCCUUUGAUACUGGAAGUCUUGAGUAGGGUAGAGGUGGGUGGAAUUCCGAGUGUAGAGGUGAAAUUCGUAGAUAUUCGGAGGAACACCAGUGGAGAAGGCGGCUCACUGGACCAUUACUGACGCUGAGGUGCGAAAGCGUGGGGAGCAAACAGG
Molecule: ribosomal RNA, 404 nt
Filed under: Actinomycetes bacterium
Lineage: Bacteria; Bacillati; Actinomycetota; Actinomycetes
Description: Actinobacteria bacterium partial 16S ribosomal RNA
Rfam family: Bacterial small subunit ribosomal RNA
Source: RNAcentral